CGGGGUGGAGUAAUGUCUGGGAAACUGCCUGAUAGAGGGGGAUAACUGCUGGAAACGGUAGCUAAUACCGCAUAACGUCGCAAGACCAAAGAGGGGGACCUUCGGGCCUCUUGCCAUCGGAUGUGCCCAGAUGGGAUUAGCUAGUAGGUGGGGUAACGGCUCACCUAGGCGACGAUCCCUAGCUGGUCUGAGAGGAUGACCAGCCACACUGGAACUGAGACACGGUCCAG
Molecule: ribosomal RNA, 230 nt
Filed under: uncultured bacterium
Lineage: Bacteria
Description: partial 16S ribosomal RNA
Rfam family: Bacterial small subunit ribosomal RNA
Source: RNAcentral